RNAcentral lists this microRNA precursor (101 nucleotides) under Marmota monax (woodchuck). Lineage: Eukaryota; Metazoa; Chordata; Mammalia; Rodentia; Sciuridae. The record is from RNAcentral.
AGUAAAAUUUCUGGAUUAUAUGGUAACUCUGUUUAACAUUUUGAGAAACUAUCAAAUUAUUUUUCAAAACAGGUGUACCACUUUAAAUUCCCUCCUGCAAU